Long non-coding RNA from Peromyscus leucopus (white-footed mouse), 178 nucleotides. RefSeq lists it as uncharacterized. The transcript is spliced from 3 exons. The record is from RefSeq and is a predicted model, not a curated record. NCBI's taxonomy places the organism in Eukaryota, Metazoa, Chordata, Mammalia, Rodentia, Cricetidae.
UUUCAGAUUUAAGAAUAUUACACCAGGUUGGUUACAACUUCUGUGUACAUGGACUUCUGUGGAAUGGAAUAAAUCUUUUGCUGACUACCUCAUGGCCAAAGACAUUGGAGUCUACUUCUUCCGGAUUCCAGCAUAUACAGAAGACCAGCUGAGACACCCAGCCUCAUGGAACUGAGCA